This 107-nucleotide small nuclear RNA is filed under the name Neogale vison (American mink). Lineage: Eukaryota; Metazoa; Chordata; Mammalia; Carnivora; Mustelidae. The record is from RNAcentral.
GCGUUCCCUUCAGCAGCACAGAUACUCAAAUUGGAACCAUAGGAGUAAGAUUAGCAUAACUCCUGCACAAGGAUGACCAUUAUCUCUUGGCAACACUGGAGCUGAAA